This 250-nucleotide long non-coding RNA is filed under the name Mus caroli (Ryukyu mouse). Its description in RNAcentral is "lncRNA (MGP_CAROLIEiJ_G0006519.1)". The record is from RNAcentral. Lineage: Eukaryota; Metazoa; Chordata; Mammalia; Rodentia; Muridae.
AGAAAGGUGUUUAUCUCUUAUCUGUUUUCAUGGAACACUUGCUUGAACCCUGCUAAAGACACACAAUCAUACUGAUGGACAACUGUAGUGUUUGAAAUGAGAGGUACACAGAGUCACAUCCAGCUUUUCUGGGACCCAAACUCAAGACCUCAUAAUGAGCAUCACAGAAGGCCCAUUCAGCCCAAGCUAUACAGUGGACUCCUUUAAAAAGCCAACCAACAAUAAUAAAUAGUGCUUGCCUUCCACUCUG